UCCUACGGGGCGCAGCAGUGAGGAAUAUUGGUCAAUGGGCGCAAGCCUGAACCAGCCAAGUCGCGUGAGGGAAGACGGCCCUACGGGUUGUAAACCUCUUUUGUCAGGGAGCAAAGGGCGCCACGUGUGGCGUUUUGCGAGUACCUGAAGAAAAAGCAUCGGCUAACUCCGUGCCAGCAGCCGCGGUAAUACGGAGGAUGCGAGCGUUAUCCGGAUUUAUUGGGUUUAAAGGGUGCGUAGGCGGUCCGUUAAGUCAGCGGUAAAAUUGCGGGGCUCAACCCCGUCGAGCCGUUGAAACUGGCAGC
RNAcentral lists this ribosomal RNA (305 nucleotides) under uncultured bacterium. RNAcentral's name for it is "bacterial SSU rRNA". It matches the Rfam family "Bacterial small subunit ribosomal RNA", at positions 337 to 640 of the family's 1533-position model. The record is from RNAcentral.